UACGUAGGUGGCAAGCGUUGUCCGGAUUUACUGGGCGUAAAGAGCGCGCAGGCGGUCGUUCAAGUCGCGUGUGAAAGCCCCCGGCUCAACUGGGGAGGGUCACGCGAUACUGAUCGACUCGAAGGCAGGAGAGGGUAGUGGAAUUCCCGGUGUAGUGGUGAAAUGCGUAGAUAUUGGGAAGAACACCUGAGGCGAAGGCGGGUUGCUGGGCCGACACUGACGCUGAGGCGCGAAAGCCAGGGGAGCGAACGGG
RNAcentral lists this ribosomal RNA (253 nucleotides) under uncultured bacterium. Its description in RNAcentral is "partial 16S ribosomal RNA". It matches the Rfam family "Bacterial small subunit ribosomal RNA", at positions 524 to 776 of the family's 1533-position model. The record is from RNAcentral.